CAGAGGAGAAGAGAGGAGUUGAGCUCAGCUCCCAGGGAACAGAAGAGAGGAGGAACUCUCAGGAAGACAAACUUAAUAAAAACCUUCCAGAUAGCUGUAGGAGGCCCAGCCACUGAGGGGCCCAAGGGGACUGUGCACCAGAUUGAAGUGUCAUUGGGGUUCCAUUCCUGAAGGAUCACACGGCCUCCAGAAGUGCUGAGCAUCCUCAGCUCCCACUGACUAUACCCGAAGAGUUUUACACGCUCGGCCUCUGGACAAUGAUGAAGCAGAACUGAAAGUCUUUAUAAACGACCAGUGGGACACUCAAGCAAAAGCAAAUGCUGCCUCUUCAUUUAAAGUUGUAUUGCAAUUUAACAAUGUGAAGUGCGCCACUCCUCUUCCAUGUUGCCAUUAAAACCACAAAUCACUGAGACGCAGUAAGCAUGCCAUAGAGGAUUAUCGAAUGUCCCACUGAAAAAAGUUGAUGGCAAGGAGCCACUUCCCUA
Molecule: long non-coding RNA, 485 nt
Organism: Chelonia mydas (Green sea turtle)
Lineage: Eukaryota; Metazoa; Chordata; Testudines; Cheloniidae
Exons: 3
Source: RefSeq, a predicted model, not a curated record